This 334-nucleotide ribosomal RNA is filed under the name uncultured eukaryote. Its description in RNAcentral is "partial 18S ribosomal RNA". It matches the Rfam family "Eukaryotic small subunit ribosomal RNA", at positions 1470 to 1796 of the family's 1831-position model. The record is from RNAcentral.
CCCUUAGAUGUCCGGGGCCGCACCCGCGCUACACUGAAGGAAUCAGCGUGGCUUUCUCCCUGACCCGAAAGGGUUGGGAAACCCGUUGAAUCUCCUUCGUGAUAGGGAUUGGGGCUUGAAAUUGUUCCCCAUGAACGAGGAAUUCCCAGUAAGCGCGAGUCAUAAGCUCGCGUUGAUUACGUCCCUGCCCUUUGUACACACCGCCCGUCGCUACUACCGAUUGAACGGUUUAGUGAGGGCCUCGGAUUGGUCUCGGCCCGCUCUUUACCGGGCGGCGCCGUUGGUCGAGAAGACGCUCGAACUUGAUCGUUUAGAGGAAGUAAAAGUCGUAACA